CCUACGGGAGGCAGCAGUGGGGAAUAUUGGGCAAUGGAGGAAACUCUGACCCAGCAAUGCCGCGUGAAUGAAGAAGGUCUUCGGAUUGUAAAGUUCUUUAGUCAGGGAAGAAUAAAAUGACGGUAACUGAAGAAAAAGCAUAGGCUAACUCCGUGCCAGCAGCCGCGGUAAUACGGGGGAUGAGAGCGUUAUACGGAUUUGGUGGGCUUAAAGGGUGCGCAGGCGGAGGCGGGAAGGCAGCGGUAAAAUUGCGGGGCUCAACCUCGCCGAGCCGUUGAAACUGCUCUUCUUGAGUGGGCGAGAGGUAUGCGGAAUGCGUGGUGUAGCGGUGAAAUGCAUAGAUAUCACGCAGAACUCCGAUUGCGAAGGCAGCAUACCGGCGCCCAACUGACGCUCAUGCACGAAAGCGUGGGUAUCGAACAGGAUUAGAUACCCUAGUAGUC
Molecule: ribosomal RNA, 443 nt
Filed under: uncultured bacterium
Lineage: Bacteria
Description: partial 16S ribosomal RNA
Rfam family: Bacterial small subunit ribosomal RNA
Source: RNAcentral